UGCGUAGGCGGUUAAAUAAGUCAGAGGUGAGAGCCCGCAGCUCAACUGUGGAAUUGCCUUUGAUACUGUAUAACUUGAAUCAGGUUGAGGUUGGCGGAAUGUGACAUGUAGCGGUGAAAUGCAUAGAUAUGUCAUAGAACACCAAUUGCGAAGGCAGCUAACUAGACCUGUAUUGACGCUGAGGCACGAAAGCGUGGGGAGCGAACAGGAUUAGAUACCCUGGUAGUCC
This 229-nucleotide ribosomal RNA is filed under the name uncultured bacterium. RNAcentral's name for it is "partial 16S ribosomal RNA". It matches the Rfam family "Bacterial small subunit ribosomal RNA", at positions 568 to 796 of the family's 1533-position model. The record is from RNAcentral.